UUUUAUUAUUAGUUUAGAUUUAUUAAUCUUUAAUUAAUUUAUUAAUAUACUUUAUUGAAUAUACAUUUAUAGGUGAUUAUGAUUAAAUUAGUAUAAAUUUUUGUGAGAUUAAUUAAACUUUUAAGUUAAAAUUAAGGAAUUCGGCAAAUUUGUUUUCUGCCUGUUUAUUAAAAACAUGUCUUUUAGUAAUUAUUUAAAGUCAGGCCUGCCCUAUGAUUAUUUAAAUGGCCGCGGUAUUUUGACCGUGCAAAGGUAGCAUAAUAAUUAGUUUCUUAAUUGGGAGCUGGUAUGAAUGGUUUGACAAGAAAACUUCUGUCUCUAUUUUAUUAUUAGAAUUUAACUUUUGAGUCAAAAGGCUUAAAUGUUUUUAAAAGACGAGAAGACCCUAUAGAAUUUUAUAUUUAAUUUAAUUAAAAUUUUAUAGAUUAUUUAUUUUUAAUAAAUUUAAUUAUUUUGUUGGGGUGACGGAAAAACUUAAAUAACUUUUUCUUAUUACAUUCAUUGAUCUAUGA
Molecule: ribosomal RNA, 512 nt
Filed under: Platycerus ladyae
Lineage: Eukaryota; Metazoa; Arthropoda; Insecta; Coleoptera; Lucanidae
Description: partial 16S ribosomal RNA
Rfam family: Archaeal large subunit ribosomal RNA (bases 127-326)
Source: RNAcentral